This 253-nucleotide ribosomal RNA is filed under the name uncultured bacterium. Its description in RNAcentral is "partial 16S ribosomal RNA". It matches the Rfam family "Bacterial small subunit ribosomal RNA", at positions 524 to 776 of the family's 1533-position model. The record is from RNAcentral.
GACGAACCGUGCGAACGUUAUUCGGAAUCACUGGGCUUAAAGCGCGUGUAGGCGGCUGGUCAAGCGUGGUGUGAAAUCUCCGGGCUUAACCCGGAAACUGCAUUGAAUACUAUUCGGCUUGAGGUCUGGAGGGGGGACUGGAAUUCUCGGUGUAGCAGUGAAAUGCGUAGAUAUCGAGAGGAACACCAGUGGCGAAGGCGAGUCCCUGGACAGGUCCUGACGCUGAGGCACGAAAGCUAGGGGAGCAAACAGG